CCACAUAACACAAAAAGAGAGGAGAAAAAGAAUAAGAUCAUUUUCUUGGUGUUAGACUAAGCAGGCAUAAAGUGAAGCAGGCAUCACUUAGGUUUAUUUAACACACUCUUCACACACACAGAACUGCACCAGUCUGGAUUUCAUCAGUUUCUCAAAAUCAUUUUGAUUGUCCUCUCUGCCUUAUCCCUCUACAACCAAACCAAAUCUCAUCUCCACACCAGGUAUAAAAGCAUUACCAUCAUCAUUGCAAUAUGUAUAUUCCCAUUCCACUCCCCUUGCAAUUUUCUUUCCAUCACCAGGUGUGAGAAGAAAAUCAUGCAGUAAAAAAAUUUCCCCACAUGCUCUGUUUCUCUGCUUUGAACCCUCAGCCACAACUGCCAGCAGGGGCACCUCAAGAGCUUUCAGGAAUUCAAUCAGUUCCUAGGAGGAACAAAACCAUGAGGAUGCUUCUAGGGCUGGGGUUCAGGAGUUUAGGAACCCCCACAACACAGGCUGGCCCUUUCCCCUUGUCUCUUAUUAUUGGCUCCUGGACAAUGGAGAUCAGAGGAUGAUCAAGAUGUAAAAAGCAGCAGAGACAAAAGUCAAGGUAAGCAAUGUAAACCUAAGCUGGAUAGGGGAGGGCCCAGAAUCCAGUGAUCAGGCUGCAGUGAUGGGCAGUGUUGGCCAUAGGACACUGGUCCAGAGCCAAUUCUUGGAGCCUAUGUGGGUUUCUCAUAACAUUUCAUCUUUGUCCUCAAAUUCCAGAGCAGUGACCAGGGACUUCAGAAGUUAUCUAGUCUUUUCUUCUCUUCUUGAUUGGUAACCCACAGUUUUCAAGGCAUAGGAAUUCUAGAUGUAAAUAGGCCUAGAGGAUGACCCAUCCUAUUUGGAGCAGGGGGACUGAGGGCUGAGCAGGGAUGUUUUGAAGAAUAGAAUGGAGCUAAUGAAGGAUUCAGUGUGUCUGAAUGUUUUAAGAGGAGUUUUAUAGCUUGAUCAGAAAACUUGGGGAAAAAUUAAAGGUAAAUACACAGAGAACUAUGCAAAUUUCUAAAAAGAGGCAUUUACCAACUAUAAGAAAAAAUGUAUGAGAAAGGAAAUGAAGCCAUAGUGUACCCUAUAGCUCAGCU
RNAcentral lists this long non-coding RNA (1106 nucleotides) under Macaca mulatta (Rhesus monkey). RNAcentral's name for it is "lncRNA (ENSMMUG00000059741.1)". Lineage: Eukaryota; Metazoa; Chordata; Mammalia; Primates; Cercopithecidae. The record is from RNAcentral.